AUUGAACGCUGGCGGCAUGCCUUACACAUGCAAGUCGAACGGCAGCACGGGAGCAAUCCUGGUGGCGAGUGGCGAACGGGUGAGUAAUAUAUCGGAACGUGCCCAGUCGUGGGGAUAACGUAGCGAAAGCUACGCUAAUACCGCAUACGAUCUAUGGAUGAAAGCGGGGGAUCGCAAGACCUCGCGCGAUUGGAGCGGCCGAUAUCAGAUUAGGUAGUUGGUGAGGUAAAGGCUCACCAAGCCGACGAUCUGUAGCUGGUCUGAGAGGACGACCAGCCACACUGGGACUGAGACACGGCCCAGACUCCUACGGGAGGCAGCAGUGGGGAAUAUUGGACAAUGGGCGAAAGCCUGAUCCAGCAAUGCCGCGUGAGUGAUGAAGGCCUUAGGGUUGUAAAGCUCUUUUACCCGGGAUGAUAAUGACAGUACCGGGAGAAUAAGCUCCGGCUAACUCCGUGCCAGCAGCCGCGGUAAAG
Molecule: ribosomal RNA, 476 nt
Filed under: uncultured bacterium
Lineage: Bacteria
Description: bacterial SSU rRNA
Rfam family: Bacterial small subunit ribosomal RNA
Source: RNAcentral